RNAcentral lists this ribosomal RNA (175 nucleotides) under uncultured bacterium. RNAcentral's name for it is "partial 16S ribosomal RNA". It matches the Rfam family "Bacterial small subunit ribosomal RNA", at positions 336 to 526 of the family's 1533-position model. The record is from RNAcentral.
CUCCUACGGGAGACAGCAGUGGGGAAUCUUGCACAAUGGGGGAAACCCUGGAUGCAGCGACGCCGCGUGAGUGAUGAAGCUCUUCGGAGUGUAAAGCUCUUUCGGCAGGGAAGAGAUAAGACGGUACCUGCAAAAGAAGACCCCGGCUAACCUACGUGCCAGCAGCCGGUAAUAC